CGCUUGAGGAACUGUCAUACUUGCUAAGGAUUCCUCAGAGAAAGCCUUAUGGAACAAUGGAGGGCAAUGUAAAGAAAGCUUUAAAGAUUGCAGUCGAUGAAAAGGAUUCUAUUUUGGCAAGCCUACCAGCU
Long non-coding RNA from Helianthus annuus (common sunflower), 131 nucleotides. RefSeq lists it as uncharacterized. The transcript is spliced from 2 exons. Lineage: Eukaryota; Viridiplantae; Streptophyta; Magnoliopsida; Asterales; Asteraceae. The record is from RefSeq and is a predicted model, not a curated record.